AGGAACUUAAGUUAAACACCAAACUAGGGGCCUUCAAAGCCCCAAACAUGUACAUCAACACAUAGAUCC
This 69-nucleotide transfer RNA is filed under the name Gonatodes daudini. RNAcentral's name for it is "tRNA-Trp". The record is from RNAcentral. Lineage: Eukaryota; Metazoa; Chordata; Lepidosauria; Squamata; Sphaerodactylidae.